AGCACACACGUGCAGAAGGAAAGAGCGCCCAUGCUGAGCAUCGGUGGAUCCGUGGGGCCCUCCACUACCCUUCCUCCUACCGCUCCAGCUUCCAUUCAGACUGUUUAUUCAUUGACUGCAUGACUAAGAUCAGCAAUCAGAUAAAAUACAGGGAAUGGAAGUUCAUUCAUAAAGCUUCAGGAACCAAAACUUUUUAAAUAAUGAGUGAUUUUGAAGCCUCGAACACAUGAUGCUAAAUUGGAGACAGGACUUUGGAUGAUAGAUGGGGAAACGGAAGAACGAGCAAUUAAACACAGUUCCCAGACAUCGACUGGCUCCAGUGAAGUCUAUGAUGCCUAAGGGAUGUGGACGAAACCCCAAAGCACAUGCAGUGAUUGGACCAAGUCCUUGUUUCUCCCCUGGACCUGGCGUCUGGACUUGCCCAUGCUCUAGAUUUAAGCUUUCCCAGUAAUGCAAAGCAGUGCUGUUAUAAUAGUAAGCUAUCAUAACACAAGAACCUCAGCCUCUGCU
Molecule: long non-coding RNA, 510 nt
Filed under: Anas platyrhynchos (mallard)
Lineage: Eukaryota; Metazoa; Chordata; Aves; Anseriformes; Anatidae
Description: lncRNA (ENSAPLG00020010564.1)
Source: RNAcentral